GACGAACGCUGGCGGCGUGCCUAAUACAUGCAAGUCGAGCGAAGAGUCUCUGCUGCUUGCACUUGCACGACUUAGCGGCGAACGGGUGAGUCAUACGUAAAGAACCUGCCUCAUAGACUGGGACUCCUAUAGGAAACGAUAGCUAAUACCGGAAAACACUAUUUCUCGGUGGGGGGUGAUUUAAAAGGUGGGUAUGCUAACAACAUGAGGUGGCUUUGCGGUGCAUUAGCUUGGUGGCGGGGUAAUGCCCCACCAAGGCGACGAUUCAUAGCCGACCUGAGUGGGUGGUCGGCCACACUGGGACUGAACCACGGCCCAGGCUCCUGCGGGAGGGAGCAGUAGGGUACCUUCCGCAGUGGGCGAGAGCCUGGCGGAACAAGGCCGCGUGAGUGAAAAAGGAUUUCGGUUCGUAAAGAUCUGUUGUUAGGGAAGAAUGGCUUUGUCGUAAGAAUACAUGUAAGUGACGGUACCUAGUCAGGAAGCCACGGCUAACUACGUG
This 499-nucleotide ribosomal RNA is filed under the name uncultured bacterium. RNAcentral's name for it is "partial 16S ribosomal RNA". It matches the Rfam family "Bacterial small subunit ribosomal RNA", at positions 28 to 507 of the family's 1533-position model. The record is from RNAcentral.